UAAAAGAAUGUUUUGUUUUCUUUUUCGAAGAAAAAAAAAAUUAUGUCAUGAACUUUUAGAAUCUUAAUAUCGGCUUGAACGCCACUAAAGAAAAAAGACUUUAGAAAAUUUAUAUAAUAAUUAAUUUAGAGUGAAAUGGUAUCUAAUAAGAUAAUACUUCCUGUUCUUCCAAAUAUUACCAAAGAUUUAUAUUUUAAAGGUUAUGUUAGUACAUCAAAGAACUUUACAAACAUUAUUUAUAUAACCCGAUAUUCAACAAAUAUUGAGGCUUUGUUUGAAGAAAAUAGUGAAAGUAAAAAUAUCAUAUAUGGAAAAUGUGGUGAUAUUCCACAAAAAAGAAAAAAAAUUAGAAAAUUUCAAAACUGGUUAUUACUGUACAAUGUUACGACAAAUCUUCAAAUAAAUGAAUUAAUCAUCAAUGGUAGUAAAAUAAAUGAUACACAAAAUUGUGUAGUAAUAAUAUACGAUCAUGAAGUCAUACUCAAUUCUGAAAUGAUCUGUGACACAGGGGAUUUUUUGAACUUACAAAAUUUUGUUCGAAAUGAAUAUAAUCAGUUCCCAAGUUCUAUAACAUAUGAACCAGCUUUUAAGAUUCCAUACUGGUUGUCAUCGUCUAUGUUCAUCCAGCAUAUUUUAAAUUAUAUGAAUGUGGCAAAAUGGCUCUUUAUUUCAAUUAAAGGAGAUAAAAAAAUAUCAAUAAGGCAAGGUAAUUUUAUUUUGGCAAUUAUGACAGAUCUCAUUUUAGGAUGGACUGCUAUGAAACUAAUCACACAGGAUAAAAAAGAAUUAAGUGUAAUGCUAAUGGGAAUGUUGGAGAAACUAAUAAACUUGCUGUAUACAUUACUAAAAUGGCUAAUGGGUGCUCCAGCUGGACUCAAACUUAAUAAUGCAUUUAAUAAAAUGCUAGGAAAAUAUUUUUCGUAUCAUGUUCAACUUUGGUGGCACUUUUUAGAUGUAUCUGGUGAAAAACUUGAUACAGCAUUACAGAUAUACCAUUAUUUGGGUUACUUUGGAUUUACAUUUCAAGCUGCUGUUAUAUCUGAUAUGAUAUCAAUAGCCACAUUCCAUUCUUACUGCAUAUAUGUAUAUGCUGCAAGGUUAUUCAAUCUACAAAUAUCUGGGCUAAUUGCUUUAUUAAGGUUUUUCGUUGGAAGAAAAUACAAUCCACUGAAAGGCAGUAUUGAUUCAUGUGAAUAUACCAACCAGGAACUAUUUGUUGGUACAGUAGCAUUUACAAUAUUGUUGUUGCUUUUACCAACUACAACCAUGUAUUAUAUUGUAUUUACUUUGUGUAACUUAUUAUCUUUUUUCAGUUUAGGAUAUUAGUACUUAUUAUACAGUAUCUAUUGGCUAAAUUGAUUUACACAAUACAAACUCUUCCAUUAUAUGUGGUAACUCUGUGGCUGUUGCACUCUCCUAAAGUAGCAGGAAAAAUCUCUAUGGAGGUAUUAAACAACAGAAAGAAAUCAUCAUAUUUAAUUAUAAGACUGAAGCUGUUUAGUAAGUCUAUUUGGGACUUGAUUACAGAUUUCAGAGCUCCAUUUGACGUACCGAAGCAAUUUGAAUGGACGAAUAUGCUAUCGAAUGUAUGUGUUGGGAAACAAAUUGUUUAACUGACUGAAAUAAAUUAUUAAUUGUUC
Galleria mellonella (greater wax moth) is the source of this 1640-nucleotide RNA transcript. It is a transcript of the gene named phosphatidylinositol N-acetylglucosaminyltransferase subunit Q, with no coding region annotated. NCBI's taxonomy places the organism in Eukaryota, Metazoa, Arthropoda, Insecta, Lepidoptera, Pyralidae. The record is from RefSeq and is a predicted model, not a curated record. The transcript is spliced from 7 exons.